This 1179-nucleotide ribosomal RNA is filed under the name Salinicola salarius. Its description in RNAcentral is "bacterial SSU rRNA". It matches the Rfam family "Bacterial small subunit ribosomal RNA", at positions 38 to 1208 of the family's 1533-position model. Lineage: Bacteria; Pseudomonadati; Pseudomonadota; Gammaproteobacteria; Oceanospirillales; Halomonadaceae. The record is from RNAcentral.
GGCAAGAGGCAGCUACCAUGCAGUCGAGCGGCAGCACGGGGAGCUUGCUCCCUGGUGGCGAGCGGCGGACGGGUGAGUAAUGCAUAGGAAUCUGCCCGGUAGUGGGGGAUAACGUGGGGAAACCCACGCUAAUACCGCAUACGUCCUACGGGAGAAAGCGGAGGAUCUUCGGACUUCGCGCUAUCGGAUGAGCCUAUGUCGGAUUAGCUAGUUGGUAAGGUAACGGCUUACCAAGGCGACGAUCCGUAGCUGGUCUGAGAGGAUGAUCAGCCACACUGGGACUGAGACACGGCCCAGACUCCUACGGGAGGCAGCAGUGGGGAAUAUUGGACAAUGGGCGAAAGCCUGAUCCAGCCAUGCCGCGUGUGUGAAGAAGGCUUUCGGGUUGUAAAGCACUUUCAGCGAGGAAGAAAGCCUCUGGGUUAAUACCCCAGAGGAAGGACAUCACUCGCAGAAGAAGCACCGGCUAACUCCGUGCCAGCAGCCGCGGUAAUACGGAGGGUGCGAGCGUUAAUCGGAAUUACUGGGCGUAAAGCGCGCGUAGGUGGCUUGGCACGCCGGUUGUGAAAGCCCCGGGCUCAACCUGGGAACGGCAUCCGGAACGGCCAGGCUAGAGUGCAGGAGAGGAAGGUAGAAUUCCCGGUGUAGCGGUGAAAUGCGUAGAGAUCGGGAGGAAUACCAGUGGCGAAGGCGGCCUUCUGGCCUGACACUGACACUGAGGUGCGAAAGCGUGGGUAGCAAACAGGAUUAGAUACCCUGGUAGUCCACGCCGUAAACGAUGUCGACUAGCCGUUGGGACCUUUAAGGACUUAGUGGCGCAGUUAACGCGAUAAGUCGACCGCCUGGGGAGUACGGCCGCAAGGUUAAAACUCAAAUGAAUUGACGGGGGCCCGCACAAGCGGUGGAGCAUGUGGUUUAAUUCGAUGCAACGCGAAGAACCUUACCUACCCUUGACAUCCAGAGAAGUUGGCAGAGAUGCCUUCGUGCCUUCGGGAACUCUGAGACAGGUGCUGCAUGGCUGUCGUCAGCUCGUGUUGUGAAAUGUUGGGUUAAGUCCCGUAACGAGCGCAACCCUUGUCCUUAUUUGCCAGCGAGUAAUGUCGGGAACUCUAAGGAGACUGCCGGUGACAAACCGGAGGAAGGUGGGGAACGACGUCAAGUCAUCAUGGCCCUUUACCG